Molecule: microRNA precursor, 88 nt
Organism: Bos grunniens (domestic yak)
Lineage: Eukaryota; Metazoa; Chordata; Mammalia; Artiodactyla; Bovidae
Source: Ensembl
AAAAAUCUUUGGGCUAGGUUAGUUCUAUUUUAUGAUCUGUUAUGAAAUGGGUUAAGGAAAAGGAUCCAUGUGGAAGAAAGAUCAGAGA